CCGUGUCCCCACAGGAAGAGCUGGGGCAGGUGGCGGCAGUGGGCCCUUCCACCCAGGGCACGGACUGCUCGCCUGGGGGGCCCCAACGCCCUCCAAAGAGAAGGGCCAGCAGCUGCCCCCCAGAUUUGCCCCCGUCCCCCAAGAGGCAGCGCUAGGCCGGCACCCACUGCAGUGCUGAGCACGAAUCUGGGGCUGGGAGACCAACAGCAACCUUGGUGCCCCAAAGGCAAAACUCACAACCAAUUCCCCCAGAUAUCAACACGGAUUUUCCACUCACCAGCAUCAAGACUUCCAGUCGCUGCAGUCCAGCCCAUGACGGGGGGAAUGGCUCCGACGACGGCUCCCACCCAAGUGUUGGCGAUGCUCAUUCUCUUCAUGGGUGUGUAACAGCAGGUGUACAGGAAGAUGUUGAACGCUCCGAGGGCGCCGGUGAGGGGGUUGACCCCCAUGGUCAGCAGGGCGAUGCCCGGCACACCACAAGAUGCUGCGAAGCAUACAGCAAGCAGGGGGCUGCGGGAGGAGAGCAGGAUCUGCAUUAGAGAAUGAACACUGCCUCCCCCCUUUGCACUUCUUCCUACUCCCCUAGAAAGCUAACAUUGGAUUUUUGUUAUUUUUUAUGGAUUUUUGUUACUCGAGAUUUUCACAUCUGGCACCAUUGUAAGGCAAGCCUUUCUAGAAAGUUAAGACUAGCUUUGUAGACUCAUAGAACCAUAGAACGGAUGGGUUGGAGGGGACCUUAAAGCCCACCCAGUUCCAACCCUCUGCCCUGGGCUGGUUGCCCCCCACUAGACCAGGCGGCCACAGAUUUGCCAUGAGAGGUUAUUCUUAUACUCCUCACUGCUGUGUUUGCCAAAUAAGUUUAAGCUAUGGAGGUCAAUGCAGUCGGUGCUUCCAGCAGAUCAUUUUCUUUUAUUGUAAUCUUAGUAAAUUUUGACCUCUGGAAAUGGCACUCAGUGUUCAGAGUGAGCGAGUAUGGCUGUAGCCUGCCAGAAUUGUAACUGAUUGCAAUUUUCUGAGGGGCUCUUUGGCUGAAAUACAACAGAGUUAGACACAAAAUGAGGAAGCAUUUAAGAGGAAAAGAGCACAUUCAAUCAUUUUGAAAUUAUGCUAACAGAAACAAAGUAAUUUUUGGCUUUACUGAAAAUGACUGAAUUCUCUACAUUGCCAUUUAGCCUACGGACUGUGCUAAGCAGGGGUAGCACAGCAAAGCCAUUCUGGUAACAAACCCAAAAUUAAAUCUUAUCUUCUAAGUGUGGAAUAAACAGAAGAUAUUUCAGGUUUGCCUGAAAGAACCAAAUAGAAAAAAGGUGCUGAUUAUUUCUGCUGUUUUACCAUGCAAGAGCUCUACAAGCUCAGGGAAAGCUGGAAACUCCUGUUAAAAUCUGUAAGAAAGUGGUUGAAGCUGUGUAAACUUCUGCUAAUAAGUUCCACAACAAACAUCCAAACACAACGAACAAGGAUUUUUUGUUUGGCUACCAAAACCACAUUUGCAGGCAGCAAGCACCAUGACGCAACACGGAGCAAGCUUCACUUGUGUUCUUUUGCAUCAGGUCAACACCUUUGCUGCUGGUGGACAUCUCUUUGCAUGCACUUUUUCAGGGGCACCUGGUAAAGUGGGAUGAGAACUAUAUGCCACUAAGAGAAAUAAUCAUGGAAUCAUAGAACGGUUGGGGUUGGAAGGGACCCUUAAAGGCCACGUGGUCCCACCCCCUGCACUGAGCAGGGACACCCACAGCUCCAGCGGUGCUCACAGCCCAUCCCCUGACUGUGGCUGUCUGCAGGGAUGGGGCACCACCGCCUCUCUGAGCAACCUGUGCCACUGCCUCACCACGUUUAGUGUAUAUCCAACCUAAAUGAAACCAUUUCCCUUUUCCCUGUCACAUCAGACCGCUUAAGAGUCUGUCCGCCUUCUUUCUUACAGCCCCCCUUUAGAUACUGAAAGGUGUGGGAGACCUCUGGAAGGGAGAAAAAUGCCAUUAACUGAGCUGCAUUAAAUACACGCUUUCAGUCAUAAGAGCAGAAAAUAAAUGUGCUCGCAGCAAAUGUCUGCGCGUGAACUUUAGCUUUACGCUUUUUGUCUCAUUUAAAACUAUGUAGCCUUUGUAUUCUACCAU
RNAcentral lists this long non-coding RNA (2114 nucleotides) under Gallus gallus (chicken). Its description in RNAcentral is "long non-coding RNA NONGGAT003236". Lineage: Eukaryota; Metazoa; Chordata; Aves; Galliformes; Phasianidae. The record is from RNAcentral.